GACUUGUUUUUCCACGCUGAUUUCCACUGUGGCCAAAUCAGAGCUAAAAUCCCGGCCAAAUGGCCGAAAUCCAGCGGCGCCGCGCCCAUCCUCGAUUUUUGCCUCCGAUGAGGCCCUUUUCAGCCUCCGUUUGAUGCAAUUUUUAUAUCACCGUGAUCACCAUUCUUUUCUCUACAGGUUGAUCGGAGCCGAAUCACCAAAACACGAACCUCACCGGAGAGCCGCCGCACCCGAGAGCACCGCCGCCGGUAAGCUUCGAUUUUCCGUAAUUUUUUGGCCCCCCGAGGGCCCUAGGGUUGUUUUAUCGCAAGGACC
Molecule: long non-coding RNA, 315 nt
Filed under: Carica papaya (papaya)
Lineage: Eukaryota; Viridiplantae; Streptophyta; Magnoliopsida; Brassicales; Caricaceae
Description: long non-coding RNA (CPAP_LNC011257)
Source: RNAcentral